This 327-nucleotide ribosomal RNA is filed under the name uncultured eukaryote. RNAcentral's name for it is "partial 18S ribosomal RNA". It matches the Rfam family "Eukaryotic small subunit ribosomal RNA", at positions 1470 to 1796 of the family's 1831-position model. The record is from RNAcentral.
CCCUUAGAUGUUCUGGGCCGCACGCGCGCUACACUGAUGAAUGCAACGAGCUCUACCCUUGACCGAAAGGCCCUGGUAAACUUGUGAAACUUCAUCGUGAUGGGGAUAGAUUAUUGCAAUUAUUAAUCUUCAACGAGGAAUUCCUAGUAAGCGCGAGUCAUCAGCUCGCGUUGAUUACGUCCCUGCCCUUUGUACACACCGCCCGUCGCUCCUACCGAUUGAAUGGUCCGGUGAAAUCUUCGGAUUGCUGACCAAGAUCCAGCAAUGGAGCUUGGUUGCGAGAAGUUGAUUAAACCUUAUUAUUUAGAGGAAGGAGAAGUCGUAACA